AUCCGUAUGAAUGCAAAGUGUGUACCUGAAAUUACAAUGAAAUAGAAGAUAGAAAGAUGAUCACCAGUAGUAGAUAGCAGACAACAGCAGAAACUUGAGUCCAACACAGUCUCAAAAUCCUAGAAGUAAAAGAAGAAAAAACAGCACCAGCUAAAUGAUCAAAAUAGCACAGAUAGAACCCAGCCAGCUCGAAAUUACACCCAGAAUUACUUCUGCAACUAGAUUGCUCAAAAACAACUUGAAAGAACUCGAAGUUCAACUUCAAAACUCAAGGAAUCAGAAUGAACAGUUAACUUGCC
RNAcentral lists this long non-coding RNA (299 nucleotides) under Nicotiana benthamiana. Its description in RNAcentral is "long non-coding RNA (NBEN_LNC029779)". Lineage: Eukaryota; Viridiplantae; Streptophyta; Magnoliopsida; Solanales; Solanaceae. The record is from RNAcentral.